Molecule: ribosomal RNA, 501 nt
Filed under: uncultured bacterium
Lineage: Bacteria
Description: bacterial SSU rRNA
Rfam family: Bacterial small subunit ribosomal RNA
Source: RNAcentral
AUUAAACGCUGGCGGCAUGCCUUACACAUGCAAGUCGAACGGCAGCACGGGGGCAACCCUGGUGGCGAGUGGCGAACGGGUGAGUAAAGCAUCGGAACGUGCCCUGGAGUGGGGGAUAACGUAGCGAAAGUUACGCUAAUACCGCAUAUUCUGUGAGCAGGAAAGCAGGGGAUCGCAAGACCUUGCGCUUUGGGAGCGGCCGAUGUCGGAUUAGCUAGUUGGUGGGGUAAAGGCCUACCAAGGCGACGAUCCGUAGCGGGUCUGAGAGGAUGAUCCGCCACACUGGGACUGAGACACGGCCCAGACUCCUACGGGAGGCAGCAGUGGGGAAUUUUGGACAAUGGGCGCAAGCCUGAUCCAGCCAUGCCGCGUGAGUGAAGAAGGUCUUCGGGUUGUAAAGCUCUUUCGGUGGGGAAGAAAUUGCACGGGUUAAUAGCCUGUGUAGAUGACGGUACCUAGAGAAGAAGCACCGGCUAACUACGUGCCAGCAGCCGCGGUAAU